This is a long non-coding RNA of Spinacia oleracea (spinach), 734 nucleotides long. RefSeq lists it as uncharacterized. The transcript has 4 exons. Lineage: Eukaryota; Viridiplantae; Streptophyta; Magnoliopsida; Caryophyllales; Amaranthaceae. The record is from RefSeq and is a predicted model, not a curated record.
AGAGUCCAGAAACCCUCUGCCCAGAGCUCUUCCCUCCUCUCCUUCUGUCUCGCCAGUUCUGGCGUGUUCCAGAUUGGGUAAGCAAUCGUUUGUGGAAAAACCAAGGAAAAUCAAGCCAACCGAAGCCUAACCCACCAGCUAAGGGAAAGUGCUAGUGAAUAAAUCCCUGAUUCGUGAGUUCAUAGUUGAGGAGAUAUCACCCCACAAUUAAGACUCUUCUCCGUUGCAGGAAAAAUCUUAGAAGGUAGUCUGUCGUGUUCUUUGGGUGAAGAUUAUGUUCCUUGGAUGAAGUUUUCUUUUAUUACGGCGAGGACGCGUUCACUUUUGCUAUAGACAAGUAAAUUAUGUUAAUAUGUAAAUUAAUUUUGGUUUUGCAUAACUCUGUAAUAUGUAAUAAGGGCACUAGAAAACUAAUAAAACUUUUGAACUGUGUUGUUUUGUUUAAGAUGCUAAUGUGACCACUAAUCGUCCACCUAAGGGAAGAUUAGUGAGUCAGUAAUGGUGCACUAAUCAGCUGGCUUAGCUUCCGCUUAGAACCUAAUUGUGCCGUAAAUAGCAGUUGAUUAUGUAGACUGUUACAUCAUGUUUUAUGCUACGGCAGAUAGGAGUAGUCCUGUGUGCCUUUGAAAAAUAAUGAUCUGUUUUAAGGAAAACAAUUUGCUUGGGGGAUUUGCCCUCGUCUUAGAAUAGUAGCGGCAUGUUAUAUGCCGCAGCAGGUUGGAAUAAUCAACGAC